CUUCAACAUGGUCCCCCAACAUCCUGAUCUCAACGUGGAGAGCCGUGGGUUUGGAGGGUGGGCUACUUGGAGGAUGAGCAUUUGGAUGCAGGGAUGCAGCCAGGGAGUUGUGGCCAGUGGUUCCUUGUCCAGGGGGAGGUCGAGAGGUGUCCCUCAGGGCUCAGCCUUGGGACCAGGGCUCUGGAAUGUCUUUACCAGUGACACAGACAGUGGGAUCGAGUUCAGACUCAGCACGAUGGCAGGUGACAGGAGGCUGAGCAGGGCAGGUGAAAUAAUAAAGGAUGGAGCCAUGCAGAGGGACCUGAGCAAGUUUGAGAAGUGGGACCAUGAGAACCUCAUGAGGUUCAGUAAGGCCAAGUGAAUGGUGCUGCACCUGGGUUGGGCAAUUCCAGAAACACUGAAUCCCAGAAUCAUUAAGGUUGGAGGACACUUUCAAGAUCAUUCAGUCCCACUGUCAACCCAGCACAUAAAGCACCCCUAAACCAUAUCCCCAAAUGCCACAUCCACACGCCUUGUGAACGUUUUAACAGUGAGUCACUGUGUCUUUAACAGGGAUUUUGUUUUGAGCACCUGUAGAUUUUUGCACAUGUUCAAGAUCUGAAAAGCAAUGUCCACCAAUGUUCUGCACAGCUCUUAUCUGAAGCUCAACAUAACUUGGACCAGUGCAGUGCCAGUAAGAUCCCACCAUGCCAGGAAGGUUUCCCAGUUCCAGUCAGAGGAAUGUCUGGGCCCUUAUCUAUGCUGUAAAAAAAUGCCUGAGCUUUACUGAAACAAGUCUUUCAAGUCCUCUCAUGGCAGACUGUUUUAUGCAAUACUCCAUUAAAUGUUUUUCAGAUGAGGGUUGUUUCUACAUCCCGUUUUUUCUGAGGUCAGUGCACUUCCAGUAUGAAAAGCCUGUUCCAACUGCCUGCCUGCCCCUUUGAGGCUGGUAGAGCCAGGCUGCCUCCCCAAGAGGGUAUCUGUCCAUCUCUAGAAAAUGUGGAAGAUUUUUUGUAGUCAGCUCUUUGUCUUCCAUCUCUCAAACCAUCCUACAGGAGCCCUAUUCCCUAAUUUCACCCUUGUUAUGUUGCUUUGAGAUCAGAUGGUCUGGGACAAAGCCAAGCAGGGGACACAUUUGAUGCAGGAAGUGUCAGAGUCAGCAGGGCUCUUCCCUGAUAAAAAUGUUACUUUUAGUUCAGCUGCCCAGGACAAAGUCAGUCCCUUGAGCAGGUCCUAAGGGAGCAGUUCAUAGAGACUGAAGGAAUAGGAACAACCACCGGCUGAGAUCUGAGCCAGGUCUUGAGGGAUCUUUCCCUGUUCAGGUCAGCAGCAGCAGAGUGAGUUAUUCCUUAGAAAGGGUGUUCCCAGUCCAGUCAUGACACUUUUUCAACAAAGCUCUGUGUGUUUAAAGAUCCCUGUAUAGGUUCGACUCCCACACACUUCAUUGCUAUAUUCAGCUCUCAUUAUGGCUGUGAGGUUUAUUCUGGAUGGGCUCUCCAUUCCCACCCCCUAAGAGAGCAACAGAUUCCCCCUUCCAAAGCUUCAUUUUUUUGCUGCAUAUCAGGAUUAUUCUUUACUGCAGAUGCAGAGAUUUUUUUCCUUCAAGAUCCUGAAAACCUUCCUUUUUCUUUUUUGGAGUGGUAUCCUUCAGUGAGUCUGUCACUGCAACCAUGGAAGGCAGCACAGCAUGAGAUGGACCAUCUGUAAAUGCCCAUGGGGGAAAAGAGGAAUUUACCUGCCUCUUUGUCCUGAGGAACUGGGCUGUGAUACAAGACAAUUGCUUUGAAAAACAUGAGGCUGCACUUGUGAGUUCCCUUCAGGAGAGCUGGGACAGUGACUCAGUGCACCUGAGCAGCUGAAGCCUGUGUUUUGCCAUGAAUGCUGAACAGUCAUCAGGAGCUACAGGCAGGACUCACAGUGCUGUAGGUGACCACAUUGCUUAAAUAAGCAGAAGAAUAAUAAGAACAAGGAGUCAGGAUGAGGUACAUUGAUCUCAGGCUUGGCUGUGGGUCUCUACACAUUGAAUAGCACCUGUGAGAAGAAUUACAGAAGAUCUCUUAAUUAAGGUUCAUAAUGUACCUGACCUUUCCCAGGCAUUUUAGUAACUUCUUAAGACAGCCCUGAGUGAAUGUCAGACUGGCACAUGGUAUUGACAUCCCUGAAGAAUAUGGAAAAGCAAGCCCAAGGAUGAAUGAGAAUGCCAGCUCCACACUUGUCUUUAGACAGAACAUAGAUCUUAAUUUCUGGAAAUACUUCUCAAGCCUCACGGGCUUUAUAGUCUGUGUCUCAGCUCAGAGUUUUAUUAAAAGUACUGGCAAAGGUUUCACACAAGUACAGUGAGUGCUCUGUCUGCACCAGGAAGGAAAACCAGCUCCUUCCUGAUUUAUAGCCCUGGAUAGCCUGUCUAUUUACUUUUUCCAGGCAAGGUUUCAGUAGGACUCAUGAGAUACUUGGCAGAGUUCUUUUAUGCUCACCGGUGGGAGGAAUGGGUUAAAAAGUGGAAGGCUGGAGGAGGAUUGUGAAUUGCUCAAGUGACCUUGGAGCUGGGAAUAACCCUUGAUAAGCCUGAGUAAACGGCAGGCCAGGGAUCCUCUGGCAUGGACUGAGUUUAACAGUGCCUGUGUCUCCACUUGUGUGCCUCUGCCCAGGUGUUGCUUCAGGGAUCCCCUAGAUAGUGAGGCAAUGGAAAUAAAUUUAUUCUUUGCGUUACAGUCGUGAAUUGGUGUUUUUUUCUGGCUGCCUGCCUGCCUGUGCUGACUCACACACUCACUGUUGAGCUGACAUAAGCCUGCAUAGACCACACGAGGGUAGGGAAAAGCUCUUGAUGUCAGGCUUAAAGUCUGCCUGACUCUAAGCUCUCCCAUAGCACUUCUGUUGGCUAAACUAGGCUUUUUACAGAUCUGCCAUGCCUACCCACCAGCCUUUGAACCCAAGACAGAAUAUAUCUGAAUACCCCUUGGUGGAAACUUCUAUUAUAGGUCUAUUUUUCUUAAUGACAAAUAUUCCUAGGACAGAGGGGGGGGGAAAUCCCAUCAAAACCUGUGACUUUUGCUGGGUUGAUUAACAGCAGUUGGUGCCAUUACUAUACAUUGUGCCCCUUUAACUUCUUUCAGCAUAUAUUUUAUAGUUCAGUCAAAACACACUCCUGACUCAGAACUUGUGGGUGGCAGCCAGUCCCCGUGGGUGGCUCAGCCAGCAGGGUUUGUGUGUUCCCUGCAAAAGCCAGAAGGGAAAAUCAAGUUUCUGACCCACAACCCCACUAGACAAUAGCCUCGGCAGAAAGUAAUUUGCAACUGCUCUGCUCCUAAUGGGACAGAAAUACUGGCCUGAGAACAGCAUGUGCUGUGAGGACCUGUAGUGUUUAACAUAUAACCAACAGUACAUUUCAAGCACUCUCUGGAACAAUGUUCCUUCCAGUGGCUUCAGUGGAUACCCACAUUUAUGAGGCAGCUCCUGACGUGGAAAGCCUGGAGAGUUUAACCUCUAGAAAGCCUCGGUGUUCUUGUGGACACUUGAGUAGAAAACAGACAGAGAACCUAAAAGGCGCCAGAAACAAAGAAGGGUGCCUCAACUUUCUUUUUUGUCACCACAGACCUAUGUCUUGCCCAGUGGCUCUGCUGCUCUGAAGCCCUGCAGUUUCAUGCUAUGCAACCAGUUUUCUCUGAAAGUAACCAAGACUCUUCUUCUUUGUGUAUCACAGCAACCUUUUUUCUGAAAGCCGCAGUGAAAGAUUACCUCCUUGCAGGUCUUAAACCAACCGGUGUCCAAGCACACAUCUAAGCUCCUGCUGUUAAGGAAGACUCAAUCGUUCAGUCAUCUCUGAGAGAGGCGCAGUUUUUCUCCUUACCCUUCUCUUAUAUUCACUUUCCUUUUAUUCAGGUGAUGGGAGAGCAAUCAAGACAUCUCUCAGUUUCAAGAGCACUCUAAAAAAGAUGCCAGUGUUAUGGAUAUUACCCCAUAACAGGGGUGACAGACCACCUACCUUUUACCUUGUGAUUUUAGCUUUGGGUGUGUUAUGAGCACAACAGCACCUGCAAAAACGGACACCCAGUUUCAGGGGUGUUUCACAGGACCGCUCACCUUCUGCACCGGGUCACUGGAUGCCUGCAGGACAGCAGGAUAUGGAAAUUUCCUAGCUGAAAACAGAGAACUGCUGCUCCUGCAAGGGAGAGACUAUUUUAGGGGUUUAGAUCUGACCUUUGCAGAGCCUUCCUCUCUGAAUCACCUGGUGAUCUGUUGAUCACAUAGUAACAUCACACUGUUACUAUGUACUUGCACCAUUAACCUGCCCCUGUUUUAGCUUAUACUGCAUUUCACAGCAGCAUAGUCCAUAUGGGGCAUCCAUGAAGGGAUGGGUUACAUCUUUCACUUAUUUACCUCUGGACAGCCUACACCUGCAGUUAUCAGGAUAUUCUGCUCGCACCGAUGGACAGAUACAAUCCCAACUUACUGGGCUUGUUCCACAAGCCUUUCCUGGCUGUAAAGGCUGAUUUGGGUGCUUCUGUCCUCCAGGGAGACUUGGCAUUGCCCCUCUCUCACAAGACGAGCAGGCUAACCUUGGCCAGAUGAAAUGAUUUCUGCAGGCCUACUCCCCUCCUCCAGAAGGGAACAUCUGAAGAAGCUGCUAAAGGAUCGUUGCUGGUCCUUCUGGGAGGCUUUGAGGAUGCCGGUGACGUGCCCCGGGGCAGAAACACCGGCAUUUGGUUCCCCCGUUCACAUGCAAAUCCGUGGAAUCUCAUCACAGUCAAAACCUGCUGCUCUUGCCCCAUUCAGAGCCUGACAAACAGCCUGAGCUCCCAUCUAGGUAACAGCCAAGGCUGUAGCUUUUGUAGCCCCAUCACACAGUGAUACAGUUUUUGGAUUAGUGGAGCCUGGUUGCAUUCGAACUACAUAUGAUCGAGAUGUUUUGUGUGCACAGAAUGCAAGAGACCCAGUGGCCUCCUUUCAGUCCUUUUAUGAGUGACUGAGUGUCUGAAGGUCAAUCAGAUUGUGCCUAAUGAAAUGACUCAUUGGCAUCUGGGCUAAUUUGUCACCUUUAGCAUAUCUAAGACAAAAAUUCCAAGUGUUCUCAGACGGGGCUCAAAGGAGUCCUGAAGUACAGGCACUCUCCUGAAUUGUUAGCUCCAAAUCUGCCCUUCUGGGGCAUGUAAUGGGAUGCUAAAGGUCUGGCUAUUUUGUGGAUUCUUUGCCUUAGGGUCUUCUGAGAUUUCUCAACACUUAAAAGACAACUUCCUCUCUCAGUUUCAACUCUAGUCUCUGCAAGGAUACACGGAAAAUCACAUUUUCUGAGCAGAAUCCUACAGUUCUUAAAUUUUAAGUGUAGUCCAAUAUUAAAAGAUUGUGUAUUGACUAGGCUUUUCUGACAAAUCUGACUGGUGUAAUAACAUAUGAACAAAAGCAGCAUAAAUAGGAGGAUUAUUUUGUAUUUAUAAGUCAUAGAAAAAUAUAUUAAAAACCUCUGUGUGUUACCUGGUCACCCAAGUGCUGCCAACAUCUACAACAUGCCCUGUGGUGAGGUGUCCACCUUGGCUGCCCUGCUGCUUUUUGAGAGAUUAUUGGGGUAUCCCAACCACACCCUGGGAAUUAUUUUCCAGGGUCUGAACCUUCCUGCGUUUAUCAGCUGACUCUCCCAGCUUCUGCACUGGCAUUCUCUUGACAAGCCAGUCUCCCUUGGGAAUGAGCCUGGAGAGCUCAGGAAGGGGGCAGGACACACAAGCUCUUGCAUCACUUCUGAAGCAAUCUGAGUUUAUAACUCUCUCUCUCUCUCUCCCACUUCAGCACAGCCAGUGGAAGAAGAGGUUAACUCUCUGUUUUCAUACAAUAGGCACCUUGCAGCUGCUUUCAAAGGUGUGGAAAUCCUCUUUGUCGGGCUGGAGUAGUUCAGUAGAACUAAAUUCAUUGGAAAAAGGGCAGAGGAUUGUUUUCUCUUGAAGAUGCAACAGGAGGAGAGAACAUAAAACAAGGAAAUGUUCUUGCAAUAUUCCACGAGUUCCUGGGCACUGCAGUACCUGUAUCUCCUGGUGGAGUUCAACAUCCUUAGGGCAGUGAGACGGCCACAAAGCAGGCAGGAAAGUUGGAUUUCCAAGUACCUCAAAUAUUUACCAGUUCCUGCAGCUUUCAAAACUUUCAAAAUAUUUAUAACUUUCCAAAAUAAUAUGGUCUACCUACUGUGAUUUUUUUUAUAUGUUAUUAUUUCAGUUCUAGCAUUCCUGUGUCUCUGAUGAUGCUAAAGGUGGAAUAAAAACCCUGACUGCAGACACAACAUGUUCAUAAAAUUCACUAUCAGUUGACCAGUUUACCUGACUUCCAUCUAUGCUAUCCAUUCUGGUUCUUUCCUUCAAAACCUGCCCACAUAGACAGCAAGAUAAUCAAUAUUUUGCAAAGAAACUAUAUAAGACCCACUCCACCAAUUAGUAAUAGUGGUAUAAUGUUAAGAUCUAAAGCACAGGCUUUGUCAGCUUUGGAUAUUUAUGGAAAUGCUCAUUUCUUAAGGCCAUUUUCUACAGUGCCCAUGCAAUGUUGUGUGUUUUCCAUUGCACCUGUGCUUUGAGCAGUCUCAUACAAAGCAGCAGUGAAGAUGCAAACUCUCACUGGUAUUUGCUUUAUGAGGGUUGUUUCUGUUGUUACCACAGAAGUAUUUAAGAAAAUAGGUCCAUCCCCAGCAGAAACUCGUCUGGGCCAGCUUGUACUCCUUUCUCAGGACGGUUCAAAUUACCUUCUGAAAGUUCCUCACCAGGUGGUUGUCCAGGAGUCUGAUGACCUGUGUCAAACCAAUCCCAGAGAAAACAAACACUUCCAGCCAGCUUCUUCUAGCUUCAUAUGGAGCUUUGAUAUGUGUCAGUGUGGCUGGGAUUUGAUCACAAAGGAGUUAUAGAACCAGUAAGAAAAAAUCUGGUAACCGAGCAGUUACACUAACACAGGAAUUUGCUCUUCAAAAACUUCCUUGUUUAAUGCUGAAGGGUUGGCAAUUAGGUAAAGGUUGAAUUAAAGCAUCAGUCUCUCACCUCUUAAAACAGUCAUGCCAUUCUCAUUAUUGACCAGCAAGGAUCUGUUUUCUGGUACCACCUUCUCUAAAGAUAAGAAGUAUUUUGUCUUUGUUUUAUUUGUGCCUUCAAACACAACACUUAUUUACACAAACAGCAGGCCAACAAACACAGUUUUUUCUCAAGGAAUUAAUGCAGCCACUGAACCAGAAUAGAGUCAGAGCUAAAUUAAGAAUGAUGAAGAUAUAUUUUAGUCAUUAACGAGGAAAACUUAGCAAGUAGCAAGAGUGACAAAUGUGUGAUGUCCUACUACAAGUUAAUAAUUUUUACACCGAGAUGUGGAAGAGUGGUAACUGUGAUUCAGAAAUAAUUUCAGAAAUCAACAUUUGUCCUCCACUCAAAAAUAUAUUUGCAGCAAAAAUAGUGUUUCAUUGAGCCUCUUCAGUCAAAAUUAAAAAAAAAAAAAGUCAAGAAAAAUAACAUAUUGGAGUCAAACUGUAAAAUCUUGCCUUACUCACAAACAAAGUUAUCCUGUGAAACAUCAUGGACAACACAUCUGGCUGCUUCCAUGGAAAGCUUCCUGAAAACUGAUAUCUUGCAUUUGCAUAUGCAAUCAGUGCUUUUUCAUAAUCACAAUUAAAUCUUUUUUUUUCCUGAGUUCGCUGAUGGUUUGCUGAAGAAUAUAAACAGGUGAAAACAAACUGCAUUUCCCCUCCUUUAUAACACACCUGAUCCAGUGGUGGUUUUUUGUGACUCAUCGGGGAUUUACAGUUUUCUGACUCCAUCUGCACCGUUUAUCACAGGAUUAAAGCAAAGUCACAUUGUCGAUAAAAACCAAGUAUACCUAUACCUGAUGUAGGAACAGACCAUAAAAGGUCAUCUAGCUGCAGGUAAAUAUAAAGAGGACACUUUAUUAUUACCCUUUUAUAACAGGUUAACCAUCAAGUCUCCAAGCACUUUUACAAAUAUUUGGUUAAAUGUGAAAAUAGCUGUGAUCCUCCUGAUACUGCAUACCAUUAAUUCCCUUUCACAGGGCAGCAAACCAAUUUGCUGAAGUUAUAUAGUAAAUCUGGAGCUCAACUAGUAUGGAAAGUGAAAAAAACCCUUGUCUCUUUAUUAUUCAGACAAACAAAAGGCAAUUCUUUUCGAAUAGGAUUUAUCUCUGGUUAUCUCAUGCAGGUAUUCAGAAAAUUCAGCUGUUCAAAAGGCCUUGUUCAUUUUUUUUAACCUCUCUAGCAUAGAAUUAUUUCCAAAUAAAUGAAAAGCGGUGGUCUUCCUGGAGCUAUAGAAAAUAAGGAUUUUUUUUUUUAUAUAAGAUGGCAUGAGUAACAUUCAACAUUUUAAAAACAAAUUAUAAUUAAAUGAUCAUUUGAGAAGAUCUGGCUCUACUAAAUCAAUGUUAACUUUUCCCAAGAUUACAUUUGGAUCCAAAACAUAAUUUUUGGUUUCUAAUUGGAAAACAAAGCAAAAAAAAAUCUUAAUUUAAGAUUUAUUGUGGUUUCU
Molecule: long non-coding RNA, 8465 nt
Organism: Pseudopipra pipra
Lineage: Eukaryota; Metazoa; Chordata; Aves; Passeriformes; Pipridae
Exons: 3
Source: RefSeq, a predicted model, not a curated record